This 492-nucleotide ribosomal RNA is filed under the name uncultured bacterium. RNAcentral describes it as "partial 16S ribosomal RNA". It matches the Rfam family "Bacterial small subunit ribosomal RNA", at positions 29 to 507 of the family's 1533-position model. The record is from RNAcentral.
AGUGAACGCUGGCGGUAGGCCUAACACAUGCAAGUCGAACGGCAGCACAGUAAGAGCUUGCUCUUACGGGUGGCGAGUGGCGGACGGGUGAGGAAUACAUCGGAAUCUACUUUUUCGUGGGGGAUAACGUAGGGAAACUUACGCUAAUACCGCAUACGACCUACGGGUGAAAGCAGGGGAUCUUCGGACCUUGCGCGAUUGAAUGAGCCGAUGUCGGAUUAGCUAGUUGGCGGGGUAAAGGCCCACCAAGGCGACGAUCCGUAGCUGGUCUGAGAGGAUGAUCAGCCACACUGGAACUGAGACACGGUCCAGACUCCUACGGGAGGCAGCAGUGGGGAAUAUUGGACAAUGGGCGCAAGCCUGAUCCAGCCAUACCGCGUGGGUGAAGAAGGCCUUCUGGUUGUAAAGCCCUUUUGUUGUGAAAGAAAAGCAGCAGGUUAAUACCCCGCUGUUCUGACGGUACCCAAAGAAUAAGCACCGGCUAACUUCGUG